GGAAAGAUAAAAACGAAAAAAUACUCCCCUUGCUUGAUAUUCUUUUCUUUUUCUUCUUCCUGCUGAAUUUUUUCAAAAAAGUUGAGAACACCAAGCACCUAUUUCCAUGUCUCAAUCAUAGGAACUUUAAUCUCCAAUUUCUUAAAGAUUUCAAUAAAGCACUUAAACUUCUUUUCUUUCCUAUGAUAUUUCUUUUGAUAAGGAAGAGGUUUUGCAUAUGAUCUUUUCUUCUUUCCUUUCUUCCUUUUUUUUCUUAAUAUCCUCCCUCAACUUUAUCUUUUUCUCUUUUCUUCUUUUCUUCUUUAUUUCCGCAUAUUUUUUCUUUUUUUCUUUUUCCUCAACCACUGCUUUUUCUCCCUCCUCAUCUUUCUCUUCCUCACUCAACAUUCUGUUUCUUCUUCCUCUAUCUUUUCCUCCUCUAUCUUCUUUUCCUGAAUCUUCUCCUCCUUUUUCUCCAUUUUUUUCUCCUCAACAACCUUUUUUGUUUCUAUCUCUUCUAUCUUUUUCACCUCUCUUUCUAUCUUCUCCUUAUAGACAACCUCAUCAAUUUGUGUCUCCAAAUUCCUGAAGGUAACUUCAUAGCUCUUGGAAUCUUACUUCUCCAAGAAUUUGUCGAAUUUUUAAUUAAGGCUUUUGACUUGUUACGUCACAUCAACUAUCUGAUGAUAUAGUUGUUGAUCAUCCUCCCACGUUUUUGUUGAUAAAGAAAGUUAUUGCUGCCAUAAACGUUGUUCAGCUUCC
Molecule: long non-coding RNA, 741 nt
Filed under: Vigna radiata
Lineage: Eukaryota; Viridiplantae; Streptophyta; Magnoliopsida; Fabales; Fabaceae
Description: long non-coding RNA (VRAD_LNC006797)
Source: RNAcentral